RNAcentral lists this ribosomal RNA (490 nucleotides) under uncultured bacterium. RNAcentral's name for it is "partial 16S ribosomal RNA". It matches the Rfam family "Bacterial small subunit ribosomal RNA", at positions 28 to 507 of the family's 1533-position model. The record is from RNAcentral.
GAUGAACGCUAGCUACAGGCUUAACACAUGCAAGUCGCGGGGCAGCAUGGGGGUUGCUUGCAAUCCCCGAUGGCGACCGGCGCACGGGUGAGUAACGCGUAUCCAACCUGCCCUUCACCACGGGAUAACCCGGCGAAAGUCGGACUAAUACCGUAUGUUGUCCAUUGACGGCAUCCGAAUUGGACGAAAGGCUUGGCGGGGAGGGGUGGGGAUGCGUCCGAUUAGCCAGACGGCGGGGUAACGGCCCACCGUGGCUACGAUCGGUAGGGGUUCUGAGAGGAAGGUCCCCCACACUGGAACUGAGACACGGUCCAGACUCCUACGGGAGGCAGCAGUGAGGAAUAUUGGUCAAUGGGCGUAAGCCUGAACCAGCCAAGUAGCGUGCAGGAUGACGGCCCUAUGGGUUGUAAACUGCUUUUAUGCGGGGAUAAAGUGGCCCACGUGUGGGCUUUUGCAGGUACCGCAUGAAUAAGGACCGGCUAAUUCCGUG